RNAcentral lists this ribosomal RNA (253 nucleotides) under uncultured bacterium. RNAcentral's name for it is "partial 16S ribosomal RNA". It matches the Rfam family "Bacterial small subunit ribosomal RNA", at positions 524 to 776 of the family's 1533-position model. The record is from RNAcentral.
UACGGAGGGUGCAAGCGUUGUCCGGAUUUAUUGGGUUUAAAGGGUGCGUAGGCGGCCCGUUAAGUCAGUGGUGAAAGCCUCCAGCUCAACUGGAGAACUGCCACUGAUACUGACGGGCUUGAGUACAGACGAGGUUGGCGGAAUUGAUAGUGUAGCGGUGAAAUGCAUAGAUACUAUCAAGAACUCCGAUUGCGUAGGCAGCUAACUAGGCUGUAACUGACGCUGAGGCACGAAAGCGUGGGGAGCGAACAGG